GAGCGAAACAAAUUGUUGCUAAUUCCUGUGAUUUCAAAUACCAAAUUGAACUUCGUAUCUUAUGUAGAUGCAUACUGUAUUACUGUACUGUGUACUGCCACCAACAAGUUGACUUAGUGCUCAGUCACUUUCUGACUUUCCAUCUAUUAGACCCUCAUGCUGUCAAAAGCCUAAAACUCAUGUUUGAAGCACACAUAUAGUGGAAUACUAAUGUACCGAGAUAAGGUAUCCUUGCUCAUGAACCACAGCAUCUUUUCUGAAUCUUGCAUAUUUGGUGGCGUACCCUGCAACAGCAUGUUUGUUGUUAUGGCUGUUUUUACUUCGGUUUAGAAGGCAACCCAGCUAAGAAUGUGCAUAAACGAAAGUUAUGAAUUUCGUUUUGGGGUCAAUGGAGUUGGCGCUGGUUGCCGUUACUGGCCUUAUGCGACGUCUCGAUAUCAGUUUGGAAUAAUAGCUCUGGACUCUGAGGAAUCCUCACUCAUACUACUAUACGAUCAUACAGACAGGUCGACCAGUUUGUCUUCUCGAUUGAAGGUCACGAGAAACAUUACAUAAAACUGGCAUGCGGUUGUGUAGAGGUUGGGUGAGAAUGACACGUGUUUCAUCAUUAUCAAAGCAGACCCAUCCCCAGCAACGUCUACCUAAAGAAAGAAAGGCCAGUUUGCAUUUCAAUC
Molecule: long non-coding RNA, 674 nt
Organism: Daphnia pulex (common water flea)
Lineage: Eukaryota; Metazoa; Arthropoda; Branchiopoda; Diplostraca; Daphniidae
Exons: 6
Source: RefSeq, a predicted model, not a curated record